GAGAAGGCGAACAUUCAGCAAGCAGCGAGUCUGCUGGGGGAAGGACAGAGGCCCGUCCUGGGGGCAGGCAGGGCCCCCAACCCCAACUGUGGAUACGGCCACACAGGCCCUGCCGAGGAAGGGUCAGGACUCACUUCAGUCUCUGGCUGAGUCUCCAUUUCUACCAGUCCCAGCUCCCACCCUGUCUCCUAGCUGUCAGCCCCUCUUCUAAACAGGACAGGGGACCACACUUCUAACAACCUGGCCAGCACUUGCUCUGUGGCCUAGAAGUAAACUUGGAAUGUAGAACCUGCCCAUCCACCGUGCUGGGCCACCUGGGGGCGGGAGGAUGGCUUGGUACAGUGCUGGCCUGGUACUCUUCUUGACCACAGCCCCCUGGGACAUGAGUGUGUAACUGGGAAGGGUUAAUUCAUGCUGGAUCUGCUUCUGAGACUUUUAACCCUCAUCUUGCCACGUUUGUUAUUAUAAACAUACAGAAUGGGCUGCAAGGAGAUCAAACCAGUUAAUCCUGAAGGAAACCUGUCCUGAAUAUUCAUUGGAAGGACUGAUGCUGAAGCUGAAUCUCCAGUACUUAUGGCCACCUGAUGCGAAGAACUGACUCACUGGAAAAGACCCUGAUAGUAGCAAAGAUUGAAGGCAGGAGGAGAAGGGGACGACAGAGGAUGAGAUGGUUGGAUGGCAUCACCAACUCAAUGGAUAUGAGUUUGAGCAAGCUCUGGGAGUUGGUGAUAGACAGGGAGCCUGGCAUGCUGCAGUCCAUGGAGUUGGAAAGAGUCAGACAGGACUGAGCAACUGAACUGAACUGAAUGGCCGGCCUCAGGGAGACAGCCCGAGCCACCCACCUGUGGAGGACUGUAGGGAAGUGAAACGAACACAUUCCCCUGCCUGAGGCUUGUUAUUCUAGGGGACAUUUACAAGGAUCGAAUAGCCUUUUUCAUUUGUUUCCUUACCUCCCCCCAUCUCUGAUCCAUAAAAGAACCUGGCAUUCAGGUCCAGACUAGACGGAUAUUUUGCAGUGCUAGCCUGCUGUCUUCUUCAUCAGCCAUCUCCCGAAUAAAGUCCCUUCCUGAUCCCAACACUUCCUCUUGGAUUCAUGGACUUAUCUUGCGAUACCUUUGUACUCUGAUGCUCUAUAGUAAGGGCUUCAUUAUCCAGGAGAUUCACAAAGAGGUCAUGGAAGCAGCUGCAGCCAUUCCACAUGAAAAUGAUGACUGUUGUGAGGAUUCCAGCCCACAUAGAUGAAAACAAGUCUGUCCUGCCCCUGGGUCCCUAGACCAGGUUGUUUCAUUUUUGGCCACAAGGAAUGUGGGAUCUUAGCUGCCCAACCAGGGAUCGAACCUGCACCCCCUGCACCACCUGCGUAGGAAGACAAAGUCUUAACCAAUGGACCCCCAGGGAAGAGGAUGCUACUGAGAGCUGGGGUCUAGACAGGCCCCUAGGAAGAGAAUGGCCAUCAUGGAUGGUGCAGGCUUCUCUGUCCAUAGGAUUCUCCAGGCAAGAAUACUGCAGUGGGUUGCCAUUUCCUCCAGGGGAUCUUCCCCAUCCAGGGAUCGAACCCACGUCUCUUACAUCUCCUGCAUUGACAGUCGGGUUCUUUACCACUGAGCCACCUAGCGCAGCCCCGUGAGUACACAUACGUGCAUAGAUAUUGAACUUGUGUUCAGCGAGGUCACACAGCUCAACUGAACUGAACUAGAGGCAUUUGAGUCCAGAUGAACCAUGCGGCAUAUUGAUCGGUUACAGCUCACUUCUUGAGCAGAGGUAGCCACACUUGGAGCAUCCCUGAGCCUGAAGAAGUGGGAGAAGGACUAGGCAGUCCUGAAGCUGCUGGCCUCCCCAGGUUGCACCCCAGGUGCACCUCUUGUUCUGCUUUGUAGCCUGUGGCCCCCAACCCAACAGAGCAGCUGUCUCUCUCACAUUCUGCAUAGACUCACGACUAGACAUUGUGUUCCCCUGGGGAGAAAGAGGUUGAAGAGUUUUAUGAACCUUUGAACCAGCCAUUACCAGGAAAAAAAAAUUAGAUGCAGGUUGCUAAGCUGCCUUCCUG
Molecule: long non-coding RNA, 2047 nt
Organism: Dama dama (fallow deer)
Lineage: Eukaryota; Metazoa; Chordata; Mammalia; Artiodactyla; Cervidae
Exons: 4
Source: RefSeq, a predicted model, not a curated record